GAGUUUGAUCUUGGCUCAGAUUGAACGCUGGCGGCAUGCCUUACACAUGCAAGUCGAACGGCAGCAUGAUCUAGCUUGCUAGAUUGAUGGCGAGUGGCGAACGGGUGAGUAAUACAUCGGAACGUGCCCUGUAGUGGGGGAUAACUAGUCGAAAGAUUAGCUAAUACCGCAUACGACCUGAGGGUGAAAGUGGGGGACCGCAAGGCCUCAUGCUAUAGGAGCGGCCGAUGUCUGAUUAGCUAGUUGGUGGGGUAAAGGCCCACCAAGGCGACGAUCAGUAGCUGGUCUGAGAGGACGAUCAGCCACACUGGGACUGAGACACGGCCCAGACUCCUACGGGAGGCAGCAGUGGGAAUUUUGGACAAUGGGCGAAAGCCUGAUCCAGCAAUGCCGCGUGUGUGAAGAAGGCCU
This 411-nucleotide ribosomal RNA is filed under the name uncultured microorganism. Its description in RNAcentral is "bacterial SSU rRNA". It matches the Rfam family "Bacterial small subunit ribosomal RNA", at positions 9 to 417 of the family's 1533-position model. The record is from RNAcentral.